Molecule: small nuclear RNA, 104 nt
Organism: Ochotona princeps (American pika)
Lineage: Eukaryota; Metazoa; Chordata; Mammalia; Lagomorpha; Ochotonidae
Source: Ensembl
GUGCUCACAUCAGCAGCACAUAUACUAAAAUUGGAACGACAGAGAUAAUUAGUAUGGCCCCUGUCAAAGAUGACAUGCAGAUUGUUCUGGCCAGGCAAUAUGCC